Molecule: ribosomal RNA, 485 nt
Filed under: uncultured bacterium
Lineage: Bacteria
Description: partial 16S ribosomal RNA
Rfam family: Bacterial small subunit ribosomal RNA
Source: RNAcentral
AUUGAACGCUGGCGGCAUGCCUUACACAUGCAAGUCGAACGGCAGCACGGGUGCUUGCACCUGGUGGCGAGUGGCGAACGGGUGAGUAAUACAUCGGAACAUGUCCUGUAGUGGGGGAUAGCCCGGCGAAAGCCGGAUUAAUACCGCAUACGAUCUACGGAUGAAAGCGGGGGACCUUCGGGCCUCGCGCUAUAGGGUUGGCCGAUGGCUGAUUAGCUAGUUGGUGGGGUAAAGGCCUACCAAGGCGACGAUCAGUAGCUGGUCUGAGAGGACGACCAGCCACACUGGGACUGAGACACGGCCCAGGCUCCUACGGGAGGCAGCAGUGGGGAAUUUUGGACAAUGGGCGAAAGCCUGAUCCAGCAAUGCCGCGUGUGUGAAGAAGGCCUUCGGGUUGUAAAGCACUUUUGUCCGGAAAGAAAUCCUUGGCCCUAAUACGGUCGGGGGAUGACGGUACCGGAAGAAUAAGCACCGGCUAACUACGU